This 785-nucleotide long non-coding RNA is filed under the name Ananas comosus (pineapple). Its description in RNAcentral is "long non-coding RNA (ACOM_LNC024993)". The record is from RNAcentral. Lineage: Eukaryota; Viridiplantae; Streptophyta; Magnoliopsida; Poales; Bromeliaceae.
AUUAAAGUACGCAGAAUGUAUAGUUACGCGUAUAUGUACAGGCACGUUUGGUUCGCACUAUAAAAAAUUACUAAAAGUAAAAAGAUAUCCGAAAAUUUUAUUAUCAUUCAUCUUAUUAUUAAAAAUAUAAUAUUUCGGUAUUUGGUUCGUACGGUUAUAUUAUUUAGUUAUGUUAUUUAAGAUUACAAAAAAUAUAGAAUUAGUUAAUUUAUUUUUUUUAAUUAAUUUUAAAUAAUACUAUAAAAAAUUUUAACAUUCUUUUAGAAAUAAAAGAGAGAAAAUAUAGGGUAGAAAGAGAGAGCAUAGUUAAAGAAUUAGGAAGAGAAAUAGAGUCGAGGUUAGAGAGAAUGAAAGGGUUGAGAUUUUAGAAAAAGAGGAGGAGAAAUAGCUUAGUUUUGAGAGAGAAAAAAAGUUGAAGUUUAGAGAGAAAAAGAUAAGUUUAGAGAGAGAAAUGAGGUUAGAGUGUAAAGAAAAAUAAUACCAACUAGUCGUCGGGUGGGAAAAAAGAAAAAUAUCGGACAUAUUAUAAUUAUCCCAAUCCAUUAAUAUAAGGAUACCCACCAUUUCUUAAAUGAAUGAGAUUAGUACUUUGGGAUGCAUCUCAUUCCCAAGUAAAUCUAAUAUUACCAACUAGAUUACUUAAUGCGUUUAACCAAAUACCGUUAUAUUUUUUUAUUUCUAUUGGAUUACUAGAAAUCUUAAAAAGAUAACGCGAAUCAAACACGCCCUUAUAAUAUUGUAGAGAGCGUUCAUUUUUCACAAUAUGCGCGUUCCACUUAACAAUU